RNAcentral lists this ribosomal RNA (465 nucleotides) under uncultured bacterium. Its description in RNAcentral is "partial 16S ribosomal RNA". It matches the Rfam family "Bacterial small subunit ribosomal RNA", at positions 28 to 507 of the family's 1533-position model. The record is from RNAcentral.
GACGAACGCUGGCGGCGUGCUUAACACAUGCAAGUCGAACGGAAAGGCCCUGCUUGCAGGGUACUCGAGUGGCGAACGGGUGAGUAACACGUGGGUGAUCUGCCCUGCACUUCUGGAUAAGCCUGGGAAACUGGGUCUAAUACCGGAUAGGAGCCAUUUUUAGUGUGAUGGUUGGAAAGUUUUUUCGGUGUAGGGUGAGCUCGCGGCCUAUCAGCUUGUUGGUGGGGUAAUGGCCUACCAAGGCGGCGACGGGUAGCCGGGCUGGGAGGGUGGACGGCCACAUUGGGAAUGAGGUACGGCCCAGACUCCUACGGGAGGCAGCAGUGGGGAAUAUUGCACAAUGGGCGCAAGCCUGAUGCAGCGACGCCGCGUGGGGGAUGACGGCCUUCGGGUUGUAAACUCCUUUCGCUAGGGACGAAGCUUUUUGUGACGGUACCUAGAUAAGAAGCACCGGCUAACUACGUG